ACGAACGCUGGCGGCGUGCCUCAUCCCUGCCCGUAGAACGCUGAAGAGAGGAGCUUGCUCUUCUUGGAUGAGUUGCGAACGGGUGAGUAACGCGUAGGUAACCUGCCUGGUAGCGGGGGAUAACUAUUGGAAACGAUAGCUAAUACCGCAUAACAACAGUUGUUGCAUGACAGCUGUUUAAAAGAUGCAAUUGCAUCACUACCAGAUGGACCUGCGUUGUAUUAGCUAGUUGGUGAGGUAACGGCUCACCAAGGCGACGAUACAUAGCCGACCUGAGAGGGUGAUCGGCCACACUGGGACUGAGACACGGCCCAGACUCCUACGGGAGGCAGCAGUAGGGAAUCUUCGGCAAUGGGGGGAACCCUGACCGAGCAACGCCGCGUGAGUGAAGAAGGUUUUCGGAUCGUAAAGCUCUGUUGUAAGAGAAGAACGGGUGUGAGAGUGGAAAGUUCACACUGUGACGGUAUCUUACCAGAAAGGGACGGCUAACUACGUG
RNAcentral lists this ribosomal RNA (496 nucleotides) under uncultured bacterium. RNAcentral's name for it is "partial 16S ribosomal RNA". It matches the Rfam family "Bacterial small subunit ribosomal RNA", at positions 29 to 507 of the family's 1533-position model. The record is from RNAcentral.